AUGGUGGCCUUAGCACACAGCAGCUGGGCCACCUACUGUAUGUGAGGGACAUUACGUUGUGGUCACACUAACAGGUACGGUCACAACAUUUGUCUGAUGUUCAUAACAGCUCUGUUCUCCGUAAGCUGUUUGCUGCCGUCGUAGUAGCACCUACACUCCACAGUCGUGGCAGGCAUA
Long non-coding RNA from Alosa sapidissima (American shad), 177 nucleotides. RefSeq lists it as uncharacterized. NCBI's taxonomy places the organism in Eukaryota, Metazoa, Chordata, Actinopteri, Clupeiformes, Clupeidae. The record is from RefSeq and is a predicted model, not a curated record. The transcript is spliced from 2 exons.